This 23004-nucleotide long non-coding RNA is filed under the name Triticum aestivum (bread wheat). RNAcentral describes it as "long non-coding RNA (TAES_LNC021734)". Lineage: Eukaryota; Viridiplantae; Streptophyta; Magnoliopsida; Poales; Poaceae. The record is from RNAcentral.
GGGCACCGCACACGGCUAAGAGAUCAAUGAUCAACUUCUGUGUCCAUGGGGUGCCCCCCUCCCCCGUAUAUAAAGGAGAGGAGGAGGGGGAUGGCCGGCCCUCUACUAUGGCGCGCCCUGGGGAGUCCUACUCCCACCGGGAGUAGGAUUCCCCCCUUCCAUGUAGUAGGAGUAGGAGAGAAGGAAAGGGAAAAGAGAAGAGAAGGAAGGAGGGGGCGGUGCCCCUCCCCUAGUCCAAUUCGGACUAGGCCUUGGGGGGCGCGCAGCCUCCCCUCUCUCUUUCCCCUAAAGCCCAAUAAGGCCCGUAUACUCUCCGGCGAAUUCCUGUAACUCUCCGGUACUCCGAUAAAUACAUGAACCACUCAGAACCUUUCCGAUGUCCGAAUAUAGCCUUCCAAUAUAUCGAUCUUUACGCCUCGAAUAUUUCAAGACUCCUCGUCAUAUCCCUGAUCUCAUCUAGGACUCCGAACAACCUUCGGUACAUCAAAACACAUAAACUCAUAAUACCGAUCGUCACCGAACGUUAAGUGUGAGGACCCUACGGGUUCGAGAACUAUGUAGACAUGACCGAGACAUGUCUCCGGUCAAUAACCAAGAGCGGAACCUGGAUGCUCAUAUUGGAUCCUACAUAUUCUACGAAGAUCUUUAUCGGUCAAACCCCAUAACAACAUACGUUGUUCCCUUUGUCAUCGGUAUGUUACUUGCCCGAGAUUCGAUCGUCGGUAUCUCAAUACCUAGUUCAAUCUCGUUACCGGCAAGUCUCUUUACUCGUUUUGUAAUGCAUCAUCCCGCAACUAACUCAUUAGUCACAUUGCUUGAAAGGCUUAUAGUGAUGUGCAUUACCGAGAGGGCCCAGAGAUACCUCUUCGACAAUCGGAGUGACAAAUCCUAAUCUUGAUCUAUGUCAACUCAACAAGUACCAUCGUAGACACCUGUAGAGCACAUUUAUAAUCACCCACUUACGUUGUGACGUUUGGUAGCACACAAAGUGUUCCUUCGAUAUUCGGGAGUUGCAUGAUCUCAUAGUCAUAGGAACAUGUAUAGUUAUGGAGAAAGCAAUAGCAACAAACUAAAUGAUCAUUGUGCUAAGCUAACGGAUGGGUCAAGUCAAUCACGUCAUUCUCUAAUGAUGUGAUCCCAUUAAUCAAGUGACAACUCAUGUCUAUGGUUAGGAAACAUAACCAUCAUUGAUUCAACGAGCUAGUCAAGUAGAGGCAAACUAGUGACAAUCUGUUUGUCUAUGUAUUCACACAUGUAUUAAGUUUCCAGUUAAUACAAUUCUAGCAUGAAUAAUAAACAUUUAUCAUGAUAUAAGGAAAUAUAAAUAACAACUUUAUUAUUGCCUCUAGGGCAUAUUUCCUUCAGUCUCUCACUUGCACUAGAGUCAAUAAUCUAGUUCACAUCUUUAUGUGAUUAGUUCACAUCUCCAUGUGACUAAUACCCAAAGGGUUUACUAGAGUCAAUAAUCUAGUUCACAUCGCUAUGUGAUUAACACCCAAAGAGUGAUCAUGUUUUGCUUGUGAGAGAGAUUUAGUCAACGGGUCUGCCACAUUCAGAGCUGUAUGUAUUUUGCAAAUUUUCUAUGUCUACAAUGCUUUGCACGGAGCUACUCUAGCUAAUUGCUCCCACUUUCAAUAUGUAUCCAGAUCGACAAUUAGAGUCAUCUAGAUGGAUGUAAAAAGCUUGCAUCGACAUAACUCUUUAUGACGAACUCUUUUAUCACCUCCAUAACCGAGAAAUAUUUCCUUAGUACUCUAAGGAUAAUUUUAACCGUUGUCCAGUGAUCUACUCCUAGAUCACUAUUGUACUCCUUUGCCAAACUCAGGGCAGGGUAUACAAUAGGUCUGGUACAUAGCAUGACAUACUUUAUAGAACCUAUGACUGAGGCAUAGGGAAUGAUUUUUCAUUCUCUUUCUAUUUUCUGCCGUGGUCGGGUUUUGAGUCUUUACUCAAGUUCAAACCUUGCAACACAGGCAAGAACUCCUGCUUUGACUGUUCCAUUUUGAACUACUUCAAAAUCUUGUCAAGGUAUGCACUCAUUGAAAAACUUAUCAAACGUCUUGAUCUAUCUCUAUAGAUGUUGAUGCUCAAUGUGUAAGUAGCUUCAUCGAGGUAUUUCUUUGAAAACUCUUUUCAAACACUCCUUUAUGCUUUCUAGAAGAUUCUAAAUUAUUUCCGAUCAACAAUAUGUCAUUCACAUAUACUUAUCAGAAAUGAUGUAGUGCACCCACUCACUUUCUUGUAAAUACAGGCUUCACCGCAAGUCUGUAUAAAACCAUAUGCUUUGAUCACUUUGUCAAAGCAUAUAUUCCAACUCCGAGAUGCUUGCACCAGUCCAUAGAUGGAUCGUUGGAGCUUGCUCACUUUGUUAGCACCUUUAGGAUCGAUGAAACCUUCUGAUUGCAUCAUAUACAACUCUUCUUUAAGAAAUCCAUUAAGGAAUACAGUUUUGAUAUCCAUUUGCCAGAUUUCAUAAAAUGCGGCAACUGCUAACAUGAUUCAGACAGACUUUUAAGCAUCAAUACGAGUGAGAAAAUUUCAUCGUAGUCAACACCUUGAACUUGUCAAAAACAUUUUUGUGACAAUUCGAGCUUUGUAGAUAGUAACACUACUAUCAGUGUCCGUCUUCCUCUUGAAGAUCCAUUUAUUUUCUAUGGCUUGCCAAUCAUUGGGCAAGUCAAUCAAAGUCCAUACUUUGUUCUUUAUACAUGGAUCCCAUCUCAGAUUUCAUGGCCUUAAUCCAUUUCAAGGAAUUUGGGCUCAUCAUCGCUUCCUCAUAGUUCCUAGGUUCAUCAUGGUCUAGUAACAUGACUUCCAGAAAGGAUUACCGUACCACUCUUGUGCGGACCAUACUCUGGUUGUCCUACGAGGUUCGGUAGUAACUUGAUCUGAAGUUUCAUGAUCAUCAUCAUUAGCUUCCUCACAAAUUGGCGUAGAAAUCACUAGAACUGAUUUCUGUGAUGAACUACUUUCCAAUUCGGGAGAAGGUACAAUUACCUCAUCAAGUUCUACAUUCCUCUCACUCACUUCUUUCGAGAGAAACUUCUUCUCUAGAAAGGAUCCACUCUUAGCAAUGAAUGUCUUGCCUUCGGAUCUGUGAUAGAAGGUGUACCCAACUGUCUCCUUUGGGUAUGCUAUGAAGACACAUUUCUCCGAUUUGGGUUUGAGCUUAUCAGGAUGAAACUUUUUCACAUAAGCAUCGCAACCCCAAACUUUAAGAAACGACAACUUUGGUUUCUUGCCAAACCACAGUCCAUAUGGUGUCAUCUCAACGAAUUUAGAUGGUGCCCUAUUUAACAUGAAUGCAACUGUCUCUAAUGCAUAACCCCAAAACGAUAGUGGUAAAUCGGUAAGAAACAUCAUAGAUUGCACCAUAUCUAAUAAAGUACGGUUACAAUGUUCGGACACACCAUUACGCUGUGGUGUUCCAGGUGGCGUGAGUUGCGAAACUAUUCUGCAUUGUUUCAAAUGAAGACCAAACUCGUAACUCAAAUAUUUGCCUCCACGAUCAGAUCGUAGAAACUUUUUUUUCUUGUUAUGAUGAUUUUCCACUUCACUCUGAAAUUCUUUGAACUUUUCAAAUGUUUCAGACUUAUGUUUCAUUAAGUAGAUAUACCCAUAUCUGCUCAAAUCAUCUGUGAAGGUCAGAAAAUAAAGAUACCCGCCGCGAGCCUCAACACUUAUCGGAUCGCAUACAUCAGUAUGUAUUAUUUCCAAUAAAUCAGUUGCUUGCUCCAUUGUUUCGGAGAACGGAGUCUUAGUCAUCUUACCUAUGAGGCAUGGUUCGCAAGCAUCAACUGAUUCAUAAUCAAGUGAUUCCAAAAGCCCAUCAACAUGGAUUUUCUUCAUGCGCUUUACACCAAUAUGACCUAAAUGGCAGUGCCACAAAUAAGUUGCACUAUCAUUAUUAACUUUGCAUCUUUUGGCUUCAAUAUUUUGAAUACGUGUAUCACUACGAUCGAGAUUCAAUAAACCAUUCACCUUGGUGUAUGACCAUUGAAGGUUUUAUUCAUGUGAACAAAACAACAAUUAUUCUCUAACUUUAAAUGAAUAACCGUAUUGCAAUAAACAUGAUCAAAUCAUAUUCAUGCUUAACGCAAACACCAAAUAACAUUUAUUUAGGUUCAACACUAAUCCUGAAAGUAUAGGGAGUGUGCGAUGAUGAUCAUAUCAAUCUUGGAACCACUUCCAGCACACAUCGUCACUUCACCCUUAACUAGUCUCUGUUCAUUCUGCAACUCCUAUUUCGAGUUACUAAUCUUUAGCAACUGAACUAGUAUCAAAUACUAAGGGGUUGAUAUAAACACUAGUAAAGUACACAUCAAUAACAUGUAUAUCAAAUAUACCUUUGUUCACUUUGCCAUCCUUCUUAUCCGCCAAAUACUUGGGGCAGUUCUGCUUCCAGUGACCAGUCCCUUUAUAGUAGAAGCACUUAGUCUCGGGCUUAGGUCUAGACUUGGGCUUCUUCACUUGAGCAGCAACUUGCUUGCCAUUCUUCUUGAAGUUCUCCUUCUUCCCUUUGCCCUUUUCUUGAAACUAGUGGUCUUCUCAACCAUCAACACUUGAUGCUUUUCUUGAUUUCUACCUUCGUCGAUUUCAGUAUCACGAAGAGCCUGGGAAUCAUUUCUGUUAUCCCUUGCAUAUUAUAGUUCAUCACGAAGUUCUAGUAACUUGGUGAUAGUGACUAGAGAACUCUGUCAAUCACUAUCUUAUCUGGAAGAUUAACUCCCACUUGAUUCAAGUGAUUGUAGUACUCAGACAUUCUGAGCACAUGCUCACUAGCUGAGCUAUUCUCCUCCAUCUUGUAGGCAAAGUACUUGUCAGAGGUCUCAUACCUCUCGACUCGGGCAUGAGUCUAAAAUACCAAUUUCAGCUCUUGGAACAUCUCAUAUGCUCCAUGACAUUUCAAAACAUUUUGAUGUCCCGGUUCUAAGCCGUAAAGCAUGGUGCACUAAACUAUUAAGUAGUCAUCAUACCGAGCUUUGUCAAACGUUCAUAACGUGUGCAUCUCCUCCUGCAAUAGGUUUGUCACCUAGAAGUGCAUCAAGGACAUAAUUAUUCUCUGCAGCAAUGAGGAUAAUCCUCAGAUCACGGAUCCAAUCCGCAUCAUUGCUACUAACAUCUUUCAACUUUAUUUUCUCUAGGAACAUAUCAAAAAUAAAUGGGGACCUACAUCGCAAGCUAUUGAUCUACAACAUAGAUAUGCAAAUACUAUUAGGACUAAGUUCAUGAUAAAUUAAAGUUCAAUUUAAUCAUAUUACUUAAGAACUCCCGCUUAGAUAGACAUCCCUCUAGUCAUAUAAAUGAUCACGUGAUCCAAAUCAACUAAACCAUGUACAAUCAUCACGUGAGAUGGAGUAGUUUUCAAUGGUGAACAUCACUAUGUUGAUCAUAUCUACUAUAUGAUUCACGCUCGACCUUUCGGUCUCAGUGUUCCGAGUGUUGGGGAUAGUAGCAGAAAUUUAAAAUUUUCUACGCAUCACCAAGAUCAAUCUAUGGAGUAAUCUAGCAACGAGGGGAAGGGGAGUGCAUCUACAUACCCUUAUAGAUCGCUAAGAGGAAGCAUUGCAAGAACGCGGAUGAGGUAGUCGUACUCGUGGCGAUUCAGAUCGCGGUCGAUUCUGAUCUAAGCGCCGAACAAUGGCGCCUCCGCGUUCAACACACGUGCAGCCCGGUGACGUCUCCCAUGCCUUGAUCCAGCAAGGAGAGAGGGAGAGGUUGGGGAAGACUCCGUCUAGUAGCAGCACGAUGGCGUGGUGGUGGUGGAGGAGUGCGGGACUCUAGCAGGGCUUCGCCAAGCACUACGAGAGACGAGGAGGGAGAGAGGUAGGGCUGCGCCAAGAGGGAGAUGAUCUCCUAUGUCUGGCAGCCCCAAAAAACCCCAAUAUACAUAGGGGAAGGGGAGGGGCUGCGCCCCCAUCUAGGGUUCCAUCCCUAAGGGUGGCGGCAGCCCCCAAAACCCAUCUAGGGUGCGGCCAAGGGGGGAAAGAGAGGGAGGGCGCCCUAGGGUGGGCCUUAAGGCCCAUCUGGACCUAGGGUUUGCCCCCUUCCCACUCUCCACACACCUUGGGCCUUGGUGGGGGGCGCACCAGCCUACCUGGGGCUGGUCCCCUCCCACACUUGGCCCACGCAGCCUUCUAGGGCUGGUGGCCCCAUCUGGUGGACCCCCGGGACCCUCCCGGUGGUCCCGGUACGUUACCGAUAGCACCUGAAACUUUUCCGGUGACCAAAAUGGGACUUCCCAUAUAUAAAUAUUUACCUCCGGAUCAUUCCAGAACUCCUGGUGACAUCCGGGAUCUCAUUCGGGACUGCGAACAACAUUUGGUAACCGCGUACAUACUUUCCCUAUAACCCUAGCGUCAUCGAACCUUAAGUGUGUAGACCCUAUGGGCUCGGGAGUCAUGCAGACAUGGCCGAGACAACUCUUCAGUCAAUAACCAACAGCGGGAUUUGGAUACCCAUGUUGGAUCCCACAUGCUCCACGAUGAUCUCAUCGUAUGAACCACGAUGUCAAGGAUUCAAUCAAUCCCAUAUACAAUUCCCUUUGUCUAUCGGUACGAUACUUUCCCGAGAUUCGAUCAUCGAUAUACCGAUACCUCGUUCAAUCUCGUUACCGGCAAGUCUCUUUACUCGUUUCGUAACACAUCAUCCCGUGAUCAACUCCUUGGUCACAUUGUGCACAUUAUGAUGAUGUCCUACCGAGUGGGCCUAGAGAUACCUCCCCGUUACACGGAGUGACAAAUCCCAGUCUCGAUUCGUGCCAACCCAACAGACACUUUCGGAGAUACCCGCAGUGCACCUUUAUAGCCACCCAGUUACGUUGUGACGUUUGGUACACCCAAAGCAUUCCUAUGGUAUCCAGGAGCUGCACAAUCUCAUGGUCUAAGGAAAUGAUACUUGACAUUAGAAAAGCUUUAGCAUACGAACUACACGAUCUUGUGCUAGGCUUAGGAUUGGGUCUUGUCCAUCACAUCAUUCUCCUAAUGAUGUGAUCCUGUUAUCAACGACAUCCAAUGUCCAUGGUCAGGAAACCGUAACCAUCUAUUGAUCAACGAGCUAGUCAACUAGAGGCUUACUAGGGACAUGGUGUUGUCUAUGUAUCCACACAUGUAUCUAAGUUUCCUAUCAAUACAAUUCUAGCAUGGAUAAUAAACGAUUAUCAUGAAAAAGGAAAUAUAAUAAUAACUAAUUUAUUAUUGCCUCUAGGGCAUAUUUCCAACAGUCUCCCACUUGCACUAGAGUCAAUAAUCCAGUUCACAUCGCUAUGUGAUUAACACUCAAGGUCACAUCCCCAUGUGACUAACACCCAAAGAGUUUACUAGAGUCAAUAAUCUAGUUCACAUUACCAUGUGAUUAACACUCAAUGAGUUCUGGGUUUGAUCAUGUUAUGCUUGUGAGACAUGUUAUAGUCAACAGGUCUGAACCUUUCAGAUCCGUGUGUGCUUUACAAAUCUCUAUGUCAUCUUGUAGAUGCAGCUACCACGCUCUUUUUGGAGCUAUUCCAAAUAACUGUUCUACUAUACGAAUCCGGUUUACUACUUAGAAUCAUCCAGAUUAGUGUCAAAGAUUGCAUCGAUGUAACCCUUUACGAUGAACUCUUUUACCACCUCCAUAAUCGAGAAAAUUCCUUAGUCUACUAGUUACUAAGGAUAACCUUGACCAUUGUCCUAUGAUCCAUUCCUAGAUCACACUUGUACCCCUUGACUGACUCAUGGCUUGGCAAACUUCAUAUGCGGUACACAACAUAGCAUACUUUAGAGCCUACGUCUAAAGCAUAGGGGACGGCCUUCAUCCUUUCUCUCUAUUUUGCCGUGGUCAGGUCUUUGAGUUUUACUCAAUACUCAUACCUUAUAGCACAGCCAAGAACUCCUUCUUUGCUGGUCUAUUUUUGAACUCCUUCAAAAUUUUGUCAUGGUGUGCGUUCGUUUGAAAGUACUAUUAAGCGAUUUUGAUCUAUCCUUAUAGAUCUUGAUGCUCAAUGUUCAAGUAGCUUAAUCCAGGUUUUCCAUUGAAAAACACUUUUCAAAUAACCCUAUAUGCUUUCCAGAAACUCUACAUCAUUUCUGAUCAACAAUAGUCAACAACAUAUACUCAUCAGAAAUUCUAUAGUGCUCCCACUCACUUCUUUGGAAAUACAAGUUUCUCAUAAACUUUGUAUAAACCCAAAAUCUUUGAUCAUCUCAUCAAAGCGUACAUUCCAACUCCGAGAUGCUUACUCCAGUCCUUAGAAGGGUUGCUGGAGCUUUGCAUACUUGUUAGCAUCUUUCAGGAUUGUCAAAAAACUUCUGGUUUUAUCACAUACAACCUUUCCUCAAGAAAAUCGUCGAGGAAACGAUGUUUUGACAUCCUAUCUGCAAGAUUUCAUAAAUAAUGCAAUAAUUGCUAAUAUAAUUCCAACAGACUCUUAGCAUCGCUACGAGUGAGAAAGUCUCAUUAUAGUCAACUCCUUGAACUUGUCGGGAAACAUCUUAACGACAAGUCGAGCUUUCUUAAUGGUGACACUUACCAUCACUGUCUGUCUUCCUUUUAAAAUCCAUCUGCACCCAACAGCCUUACGACCAUCAAGUGGUUCUUUCAAAGUCCAUACUUUCUUUUAUACAUGGAUCCUCUCUCGGAUUUUAUGGCCUCGAGCCAUUCUUCGGAAUCUGGGCCCACCAUCACUUCUCCAUAGCUCGUAGGUUCAUUGUUGUCUAGCAACAUGACUUCCAAGACAGGAUUAUGUACCACUCUGAAGUAGUAUGCAUCCUUGUCGACCUAUGAGGUUUGGUAGUGACUUGAUCCGAAGUUUCAUGAUCACUAUCAUAAGCUUCCACUUCAAUUGGUGUAGGUGCCACAGGAACAACUUCCUGUGCCCUUCUACACACUAGUUGAAGUGACGGUUCAAUAACCUCAUCAAGUCUACACCAUCCUCCCACUCAAUUCUUUCGAGAGAAACUUUUCCUCGAGAAAGGACCCGUUUCUAGAAAUAAUCACUUUUGCUUCCGGAUCUGAAAUAGGAGGUAUACCCAACUAUUUUUGGGUAUUCUAUGAAGAUGCAUUUAUCCGCUUUGGGUUCGAGCUUAUCAGCCUGAAACUUUUUCACAUAAGCAUCGCAGCCCCAAACUUUUAAGAAACGACAGCUUAGGUUUCUCUAAACCAUAGUUCAUACGGUGUCGUCUCAAUGGAAUUGUGUGGUGCCCUAUUUAAAGUGAAUGUGGUUGUCUUUAAUGCCUAACCCAUAAACGAUAGUGGUAAUUCGAUAAGAGACAUCAUGGUAUGCACCAUAUCCAAUAGGGUGCAGUUGUGAUGUUCGGACACACCAUCACACUAUGGUGGUCCAGGCGGUAUUAGUUGUGAAACAAUUUCCACAAUGUCUUAAUUGUGUGCCAAACUCGUAACUCAGAUAUUCAUCUCUAUGAUCAUAUCAUAAACAUUUUAUCAUUUUGUCACGACGAUCUUCAACUUCACUCUGAAAUUACUUAAACCUUUCAAUAAUUCAGACUUGUGUUUCAUCAAGUACAUAUACUCAGCAUCUACUCAAAUCAUCUGUGGAGUAAGAACAUAACGAUAUCCAUUGCGUGCCUCAGCACUCAUUGUACUACACACAUCAAAAUGUAUUACUUCCAACAAGUUGCUUUCUUGUUCCAUCUUACUGAAAACGAGGCCUUUCAGUCAUCUUGCCCAUGUGGUAUGAUUUGCAUGUCUCAAGUGAUUCAAAAUCAAGUGAGUCCAAGCGAUCCAUCUGCAUGGAGUUUCUUCAUGCAUAUCUACCAAUAUGACUCAAAUGGCAGUGCCACAAGUAUGUGGUACUAUCAUUACUAUCUUUUGGCAUGAACAUGUGUAUCACUACGAUCGAGAUUCAAUAAACCAUUCAUUUUUUGGUGCAAGACCAUUGAAGGUAUUAUUCAAAUAAACAGAGUAACCAUUAUUCUCCUUAAAUGAAUAACCGUGUGGCUAUAAACAUAAUCCAAUCAUGUCUAUACUCAACGUAAACAACAAAUAACAAUUAUUUCGGUUUAACACCAAUCCCGAUGGUAGAGGGAGCGUGCGAUGUUUGAUCACAUCAACCUUGGAAACACUUCCAACGCAUAUCGUCAUCUCACCUUUAGCUAGUCUCCGCAGCCUUUUAUUUCGAGUUACUAACGCUUAGCAACCGAACCGGUAUUUAUUACCCUCGUGCUACUAGGAGUACUAGUAAAGUACACAAUAAUAUGACGUAUAUCCAAAAUACUUAUGUCGACCUUGCCAGUCUUCUCAUCUACCAAGUAUCUAGGGUAGUUCUGCUUCAGUGAUCGUUCCUCAUUAUAGAAGCACUUAGUCUCGGGUUUGGUUCAACCUUGGGUUUCUUCACUAGAGCAGCAACUGAUUUGCCGUCUCAUGAAGUAUCCCUUCUUUCCCUUGCCCUUCUUGAAACUAGUGGUUUUACUAACCAUCAACAAUUGAUGCUCCUAUUUGAUUUCUACUUUCGCGGUGUCGUGAAUAGCUCAAGGAUCAUCAUAUCUAUCUCUGAUAUGUUAUAGUUCAUCACGAAGCUCUAGUAGCUUAGUGGCAGUGACUUUGGAGAACCAUCACUAUCUCAUCUGGAAGAUCAACUCCCACUCGAUUCAAGCGAUUGUAGUACUCUGAGCACAUGCUCAACGAUUGAGCUUUUCUCCUUAGUUUGCAGGCUUAUGAAACUUGUCACAGGUCUCAUACCUCUUGACGUGGGCACUAGCCUGAAAUCCCAAUUUCAGUCCUUGGAACAUCUCACAUGUUCUGCGAUGUUUCAAAAACGUCUUCGGUGCCUCAAUUCUAAACCAUUUAGCAUUACGCACUGAACUAUCAUGUAGUCAUCAAAACGUGUAUGUCAGAUGUUCGCAACAUCCACAACCGACGCUCGAGGUUCAGCUCACUAAGCGGUGCAUUAAGGACAUAAUCCUUCUGCGCAGCAAUGAAGACAAUCCUCAAUUUACGGACCCAGUCCGCAUAAUUGCUACUAUCAACUUUCAACUAAAUUUUCUCUAGGAACAUAUCUAAAAUAGUAGAACUAAAGCGUAAGCUACGACAUAAUUUGCAAAAUCCUUUUGACUAUGUUCAUGAUAAUUAAGUUCAUCUGAUUAUUUAAUGAACUCCCACUCAGAUAGGCAUCCCUCUAGUCAUCUAAGUGAUACAUGAUCCGAGUCAACUAGGCCGUGUCCGAUCAUCACAUGAGACGGACUAGUCAUCAUUGGUGAACAUCUUCAUGUUGAUCGUAUCUUCUAUACGACUCAUGUUUGACCUUUCGGUCUUCCGUGUUCCGAGGCCAUGUCUGUACAUGCUAGGCUCGUCAAGUCAACCUAAGUGUAUUGCAUGUGUAAAUCUGGCUUACACCCAUUGUAUUCGAACGUUAGAAUCUAUCACACCCGAUCAUCACGUGGUGCUUCGAAACAACGAACCUUCGCAGCGGUGCACAGUUAGGGGGAACACUUUCUUGAAAUUAUUGCGAGGGAUCAUCUUAUUUAAGCUACCGUCGUUCUAAUCAAAUAAGAUGUAAAACAUGAUAAACAUCACAUGUAAUCAAAUAGUGACAUGAUAUGGCCAAUAUCAUUUUGCUCCUUUUGAUCUCCAUCUUCGGGGCGCCAUGAUCAUCAUCGUCACCGGCAUGACACCAUGAUCUCCAUCAUCAUGAUCUCCAUCAUCGUGUCUUCAUGAAGUUGUCUCGUCAUCUAUUACUUCUACUACUAUGGCUAACGGUUUAGCAAUAAAGUAAAGUAAUUACAUGAAGUUUAUGUUGACACGCGGGUCAUAAAUAAAUUAAGACAACUCUUAUGGCUCCUGUCGGUUGUCAUACUCAUCGACAUGCAAGUCGUGAUUCCUAUUACAAGAACAUGAUCAAUCUCAUACAUCACAUAUAUCAUUCAUCACAUCCUUUUGGCCAUAUCACAUCACACGGCAUAUGCUGCAAAAACAAGUUAGACGUCCUCUAAUUGUUGUUGCAAAUGUUUACAUGGCUGCUAUAGGUUUCUUAGCAAGAACGUUUCUUACCUACGCCAAAACCACAACGUAAAAUGCCAAUUUCUAUUUACCCUUCAUAAGGACCCUUUUCAUCGAAUCCGAUCCGACUAAAGUGGGAGAGACAGACACCCGCUAGCCACCUUAUGCAACUAGUGCAUGUCAGUCGGUGGAACCUGUCUCACGUAAGAGUACGUGUAAGGUCGCUCCGGGCCGCUUCAUCCCAUGAUGCCGCCGAAUCAAGAUAAGACUAGUAACGGCAAGUAAAUUGACAAAAUCGACGCCCACAACAACUUAUGUUCUACUCGUGCAUAGAAACUACGCAUAGACCUAGCUCAUGAUGCCACUGUUGGGGAUCGUAGCAGAAAUUUAAAAUUUUCUACGCAUCACCAAGAUCAAUCUAUGGAGUAAUCUAGCAAUGAGGGGAAGGGGAGUGCAUCUACUGUAACACCCCGGAUAUAACUUUCCCAAUUUGUACUCCAACUCUUGCCGUUUCCGGCGUUAAGUUAUAUUUAUUUCCUCGGGUUCGGGUUUUUGUCUCCAUGUGUUGUUGUCAUUGUCAUGUGUCUCAUAUCAUGUCAUCAUGUGCAUUGCAUUUGCAUACGUGUUCGUCUCAUGCAUUCGAGCUUUUUCCCCGUUGUCCGUUUUGCAUUCCGGCGCUUCGUUCUCCUCCGGUGGUCAUUUCUAGCUUUCUUUCGUGUGUGGGGAUUAAACAUUUCCGGAUUGGACCGAGACUUGCCAAGCGGCCUUGGUUUACUACCGGUAGACCGCCUGUCAAGUUUCGUAUCAUUUGGACUUCGUUUGAUACUCCAACGGUUAACCGAGGGACCGAAAAGGCCUCGUGUGUGUUACAGCCCAACCCUCCAAUUUGGCCCAAAUACCCACCUAACUCUACUCCAUCAUCUAGAGCGUUCGAUCACGAUCGCGUGGACGAAAACUGCACCUCAUUUGGACUCUCCUAGCUCCCCCUAUGCCUAUAUAUACACACCCCCAUUCCAAAUUCGCGGAUCCUCAUCCUCCUAACCCUAAAAAAAUCUCCUCGCCGCCGCCGGACAUGUCCGCCGCCUAACCAGACACGUCCGGCCGCCACAGCCGCCCAAUCGCGUGCCGCCAUGUGGGGGCGUGCCCACUUCGCCGUGCCGCCGCCCGUGCGGGCCCGCCAGGCCCAAGGCCGGCCCCCGCGAGCCCGCGAGCCGAGCCGUCUCNNNNNNNNNNNNNNNNNNNNNNNNNNNNNNNNNNNNNNNNNNNNNNNNNNNNNNNNNNNNNNNNNNNNNNNNNNNNNNNNNNNNNNNNNNNNNNNNNNNNNNNNNNNNNNNNNNNNNNNNNNNNNNNNNNNNNNNNNNNNNNNNNNNNNNNNNNNNNNNNNNNNNNNNNNNNNNNNNNNNNNNNNNNNNNNNNNNNNNNNNNNNNNNNNNNNNNNNNNNNNNNNNNNNNNNNNNNNNNNNNNNNNNNNNNNNNNNNNNNNNNNNNNNNNNNNNNNNNNNNNNNNNNNNNNNNNNNNNNNNNNNNNNNNNNNNNNNNNNNNNNNNNNNNNNNNNNNNNNNNNNNNNNNNNNNNNNNNNNNNNNNCCCGGUGCCAUCGUCGCCUCGCCGCCUCCGCGGGCCACUGCCACCGUCGUCCGGCCACUCCGGCGACCGGAUCUGGCCGGCCCCGGCCUCCUCCGACCUCCCCGGCGCCGCCCCGCAUCCCCCUCCGGCGAACUCCGGCCAGAUCCCGGCGAUCCUCGACUUCCGCGCCAAAGUCAACCCUAGAUCCGGUGGUAAAAUUCGGCUAAGUCCUCAGAAUUCUCAGUUCAAGUGCUCAUGUUCACGGCUCCGUAACUUUGCAUCCGUAGCUCCGAUUCAUGCAUAUAGCAUAUCAAAAUGUUCAUCUCAGAGAGUACAUCAUUUCAUUCCAUUGCAUCAUUUUCAUUUGAGUUCAUCUUGAUGCUCGAGAUGCUGUUAGAAGAGGGCUACUUGAGUUAAUUGUCAGAUCUGCUACCCCGUUUAGCACUUUUGUCAUUUUUGCCAUGAUUAUUGUGUGCAUGUUAUGCCCGUGUGCUCUACAUAUGUUUUGUUAAGGGUUUUGUCAUCUUUCCAGAGGUGCAACCCAUUUAUUUUUAGGAUGUGUGUGGUGACUAGUGCAAGCUUGCAAAGUGGUGCACUUGCUAAUUCUGUUUUCAAGGACUUAGUGAUUUCACUAAGUCCUGGAGCUGUUUAUCUCAUGUUGCCAUAUGUUCAUGUUGUUUCCUAGUGAUCCGUGCCUCUUUUGAGGAUGAUCAGUAAAGAUGUUUUGUUAAUAUUGUAGUGCUCUAUCCAUCCAUGUCUUUGUUUGCAAUUAUGGAGCACCCUAGCUUGAGUCAAUCGAGCUCUACUUUUGCUACUUUGUGAAUCUGGGCAGAUUGCCAACUUGUUUGCAAUUUUGCCGGUGAUGUUGUAGUUGAUCCGUGCAUGCUAUGCUAUUGUUCUGCCAUGUCUAGCUUGCAUUUUGUGCCUUCUUGAUGGGUGUAUGCUUGUCUUGCCAUGACUUGCACCAUAGUGAGUGCAUCGAGCUCGUAAACAUGCCUACUUGAGUUAUAUUUCAGCAUGUGUUAGUUUUCACUAAGUAUGAAAACUGAUUAUGUUUUUGCUAUGUUCACAUGCUUGCAAUUGUAUUUUCUGAUCCCUUUUGGCUCAAGGUCACUAAGGGACUUUUAUUAAGAUCUUUGAGUAGCUCCAUGCCAUGCUUUACUUUGCCAUGUUCAGGUCCUGUAGCAUGUAGUUUUGUUGCUCCGAAGAGGGCUACCUGAUCUGAAAUUCCAGAGAAGUGUUAAUUUCACUAUGUCUGAAAUCUGUUUGUCAUAUGCAUUUUUGCCAUGCUUGUUUGAACCUGUUAAUGGAUGAAUUGGCCGUAGCUCAGUGCUAGACUUUUGUUAAGCAUCUUGUGUGCAUCCCUGCCAUGUAUUUUGUUGUCAUGUUUGGGUGCUGUAGCAUGUUCAUUUCGUUGCAUUUAGAUGCCUACUUGCUGUAAAUCGCAGACCGGUGUCAUUUUUGAAUCGCUUGCCAUUUCCAAACCGUAGCUCCGAUUCCGGUGUUCUUUAUAUCGUUUUCAAGCGAUUUCAUCUCGUCUUUCCAGUGGCACACUUGGUUUUCCAAGUUGAUGCCAGGUUCAUGCUUUUCCUGUCAUAUCUUGUAUUUUGCAUCCCGCAUCGCAUCCCGCAUAGCAUAUCAUCAUUGCAUCAUAUCGCUUGAUCCUUGCACGUGGUUGAUUGUAUCCUUGUUGCUUGUUUGUCUUGUUUGGGUAGAGCCAGGAGACGAGUUCGCUAACGAGGAGCCCGUUGAGUUUGCUUUCGAGGAUCCAGUCAACUCUGACAACUGUGCAGGCAAGAUGAUCAUACCCUCGAAAUCACUACUAUCUUUGCUAUGCUAGUUUGCUCGCUCUUUUGCUAUGCCAAUGCUACGAUGCCUACCACUUGCUUGCAAGCCUCCCAAAUUGCCAUGUCAAUCCUCUAACCCACCAUGUCCUAGCAAACCGUUGAUUGGCUAUGUUACCGCUUUGCUCAGCCCCUCUUAUAGCGUUGCUAGUUGCAGGUGAAGAUUGAAGGCCGUUCCUCGUAGGAACAUUUAUUUACUUAUUGGGAUAUCAUUAUAUUAUCUUGUUAUCUUAAUGCAUCUAUAUACUUGGUAAAGGGUGGAAGGCUCGGCCUCUCGCCUGGUGUUUUGUUCCACUCUUGCCACCCUAGUUUCUGUCAUAUCGGUGUUAUGUUCCCGGAUUUUGCGUUCCUUACGCGGUUGGGUUAUAAUGGGAACCCCUUGAUAGUUCGCCUUGAUUAAAGCUUUUCCAGCAAUGCCCAACCUUGGUUUUACCAUUUGCCACCUAGCCUUUUCUUUCCCUUGNNNNNNNNNNNNNNNNNNNNNNNNNNNNNNNNNNNNNNNNNNNNNNNNNNNNNNNNNNNNNNNNNNNNNNNNNNNNNNNNNNNNNNNNNNNNNNNNNNNNNNNNNNNNNNNNNNNNNNNNNNNNNNNNNNNNNNNNNNNNNNNNNNNNNNNNNNNNNNNNNNNNNNNNNNNNNNNNNNNNNNNNNNNNNNNNNNNNNNNNNNNNNNNNNNNNNNNNNNNNNNNNNNNNNNNNNNNNNNNNNNNNNNNNNNNNNNNNNNNNNNNNNNNNNNNNNNNNNNNNNNNNNNNNNNNNNNNNNNNNNNNNNNNNNNNNNNNNNNNNNNNNNNNNNNNNNNNNNNNNNNNNNNNNNNNNNNNNNNNNNNNUGCUUAUCUGAGUGUGCCCUGAGAAAGAGAUAUGUGCAGCUCCUAUCGGGAUUUGUCGGCACAUUCGGGCGGUGUUGCUGGUCUUGUUUUAACCUGUCGAAGUGUCUUGAAUUACCGAGAUACCGAGUCUGAUCGGAACGUCUUGGGAGGAGGUCUAUUCCUUCGUUGACCGUAAGAGCUUGUCAUGGGCUAAGUUGGGACUCCCCUGUAGGGAUUUGAACUUUCGAAAGCCGUGCCCGCGGUUAUGGGCAGAUGGGAAUUUGUUAAUGUCCGGUUGUAGAUAACUUGAACCUUAACUUAAUUAAAAUGAAUCAACUGAGUGUGUUACCGUGAUGGCCUCUUCUCGGCGGAGUCCGGGAAGUGGACACGGUGUUGGAGUAAUGUUUGCGCAGGAUGCUCUCUAGUUUCUCGCUCGCGCUUUGCCUCCUCUUCUCGCUCUCCUUUGCGAAUAAGUUAGCCACCAUAUAUGCUAGUCGCUUGUUGCAGCUCCACAUAUAUUUACCUUGCCUUACCUAUAAGCUUAAAUAGUCUUGAUCGGGAGGGUGCGAGAUUGCUGAGUCCCUGUGGCUCACAAAUUACUAUUACACCAGAUGCAGGGCCUGAUGAUUCCGCUCCAGGAGACGUGUAUGAGCUCAAGUGGGAGUUCGACGAAGACUCUCAACGCUACUAUGUUUCCUUUCCCGAUGAUCAGUAGUGGUGCCCAGUUGGGGGUGAUUGGGACCAUUGUCGCAUGUUGGGUUCUCUUUUAUUUUGGCGCCGUAGUCGGGCCAUGAGUGUUUGGAUGAUGUAAUUUAUUUGUGUACUUGAUUGACGUGGCGAGUGUAAGCCAACUAUGUUAUCUCCCCUUUAUUAUGCAUAUUACAUGGGAUGUUGUGAAGAUUACCUAACUUGCGACAUAUGCCUUCAAUGCGAUUAUGCCUCUAAGUCGUGCCCCGACACGUGGGAGAUAUAAUCGCAUCGAGGGUGUUACAUCUACAUACCCUUGUAGAUCACUAAGCGGAAGCGUUGCAAGAACGCGGAUGAGGUAGUCGUACUCGUGGCGAUUCAGAUCGCGGUCGAUUCUGAUCUAAGCGCCGAACAACGGUGCCUCCGCGUUCAACACACGUGCAGCCCAGUGACGUCGCCCAUGCCUUGAUCUAGCAAGGAGAGAGGGAGAGGUUGGGGAAGACUCUGUCCAGCAGUAGCACGACGGCGUGGUGUUGGUGGAGGAGCGCGGGACUCUAGCAGGGCUUCGCCAAGCACUACGAGAGACGAGGAGGGAGAGAGGUAGGGCUGCGCCAAGAGGGAGAUGAUCUCCUAUGUCUGGCAGCCCCAAAAACCCCCAAUAUAUAUAGGGGAAGGGGAGGGGCUGCGCCCCCAUCUAGGGUUCCAUCCCUAGGGGUGGCGGCAGCCCCCAAAACCCAUCUAGGGUGCGGCCAAGGGGGGAAAGAGAGGGGGGCGCCCUAGGGUGGGCCUUAAGGCCCAUCUGGACCUAGGGUUUGCCCCCUUCCCACUCUCCACGCGCCUUGGGCCUUGGUGGGGGGCGCACCAGCCUACCUGGGGCUGGUCCCCUCCCACACUUGGCCCACACAGCCUUCUGGGGCUGGUGGCCCCACCUGGUGGACCCCCGGGACCCUACCGGUGGUCCCAGUACGUUACCGAUAGCACCCGAAACUUUUCUGGUGACCAAAACGGGACUUUCCAUACAUAAAUCUUUACCUUCGGACCAUUCCGGAACUCCUCGUGACGUCCGGGAUCUCAUUUGGGACUCUAAACAACAUUCGGUAACUGCGUACAUACUUUCCCUAUAACCCUAGCGUCAUCGAACCUUAAGUGUGUAGACCCUACGGGCUCGGGAGUCAUGCAGACAUGGCCGAGACAACUCUCCGGUCAAUAACCAACAGCGGGAUCUGGAUACCCAUGUUGGCUCCCACAUGCUCCACGAUGAUCUCAUCGGAUGAACCACGAUGUCAAGGAUUCAAUCAAUCCCGUAUACAAUUCCCUUUGUCUAUCGGUACGAAUCGUAUGAUACUUGCCCGAGAUUCAAUCAUCGGUAUCCCGAUACCUCAUUCAAUCUCAUUACCGGCAAGUCUCUUUACUCGUUCCGUAACACGGCAUCCCGUGUUCAACUCCUUGGUCACAUUGUGCACAUUAUGAUGAUGUCCUACCGAGUGGGCCCAGAGAUACCUCCCCGUUACACGGAGUGACAAAUCCUAGUCUCGAUUCGUGCCAACCCAACUGACACUUUCGGAGAUACCCGCAGUGCACCUUUAUAGCCACCCAGUUACGUUGUGACGUUUGGUACACCCAAAGCAUUCCUACGGUAUCCGGGAGCUGCACAAUCUCAUGGUCUAAGCAAAUGAUACUUGAUAUUAGAAAAGCUUUAGCAUACGAACUACACGAUCUUGUGCUAGGCUUAGGAUUGGGUCUUGUCCAUCACAUCAUUCUCCUAAUGAUGUGAUCCCGUUAUCAACGACAUCCAAUGUCCAUGGUCAGGAAACCGUAACCAUCUAUUGAUCAACGAGCUAGUCAACUAGAGGCUUACUAGGGACAUGGUGUUGUCUAUGUAUCCACGCAUGUAUCUGAGUUUCCUAUCAAUACAAUUCUAGCAAGGAUAAUAAACGAUUAUCAUGAACAAGGAAAUAUAAUAAUAACUAAUUUAUUAUUGCCUCUAGGGCAUAUUUCCAACACCUAGGCCAUAUCUGCAUAUGCUAGCCUCGUCAAGUUUAAUCCGAGUAUUCUGCGUGUGCAAAACCGGCUUGCACCCGUUGUAUGUGAACGUAGAGCUUAUCACCUUCAACAAGGACCAGGCGUAGUCACACUCGAUUCAACUAAAGCUGGAGAAACAGACACCCACUAGCCAACUGUGUGCGAAGCACGUCGGUAGAACCAGUCUCGCGUAAGCGUAUGCGUAAUGUCGGUCUGGGCCGCUUCAUCCAACAAUGCCGCUGAAUCAAGAACCAACUACUGACGGCAAGCAAUAUGUAUAUAACCACGCCCACAACUCCUUUGUGUUAUACUCGUGCAUAUGACAUCUACGCAUAAACCUGGCUCUGAAACCACUGUUGGAGAACGUAGUAAUUUCAAAAAAAUUCCUACGCACAUGCAAGAUCAUGGUGAUGCAUAGCAAUGAUAGGGGAGAGUAUCGUCUACAUACCCUUGUAGACCGUAAGCGGAAGCGUUAUGACAACGCGGUUGAUGUAGUCGUACGUCUUCACGAUCGACCGAUCCUAAUACCGAAAGUACGACACCUCCGUGAUCUGCACACGUUCGGCUCGGUGACGUCCCACGAACUCAUGAUCCAGCAGAGUGUCGAGGGAGAUCUUCGUCAGCACGAUGACGUGAUGACGACGAUGAUGAUGCUACCAGAACAGGGCUUCACCUAAGCACCGCUACGAUAUGACCGAUGUGGAUUAUGGUGGAGGGGGGCUCCGCACACGGCUAAGAGAUCAAUGAUCAACUUGUGUGUCCAUGGGGUGCCCCCCUCCCCCGUAUAUAAAGGAGUGGAGGAGGGGGAGGGCCGGCCCUCUACUAUGGCGCGCCCUGGGGAGUCCUACUCCCACCGGGAGUAAGAUUCCCCCCUUCCAUGUAGUAGGAGUAGGAGAGAAGGAAAGGGAAAAGAGAAGAUAAGGAAGGAGAGGGCGCCGCCCCUCCCCCUAGUCCAAUUCGGACUAGGCCUUGGGGGGCGUGCAGCCUCCCCUCUCUCUUUCCCCUAAAGCCUAAUAAGGCCCAUAUACUCUCCGGCGAAUCCCCGUAACUCCCCGGUACUCCGAUAAGUACCCGAACCGCUCAGAGCCUUUCCGAUGUCCGAAUAUAGCCUUCCAAUAUAUCGAUCUUUACGUCUCAAACAUUUUGAGACUCCUCGUCAUGUCCCUGAUCUCAUCCGGGACUUCGAACAACCUUCGGUACAUCAAAACACAUAAACUCAUAAUACCGAUCGUCACCGAACGUUAAGCGUGCGGACCCUACGGGUUCGAGAACUAUGUAGACAUGACCGGGACAUGUCUCCGGUCAAUAACCAAUAGCGGAACCUGGAUGCUCAUAUUGGCUCCUACAUAUUCUAUGAAGAUCUUUAUCGGUCAAACCGCAUAACACCAUACGUUGUUCCCUUUGUCAUCGGUAUGUUACUUGCCCGAGAUUCGAUCGUCGGUAUCUCAAUACCUAGUUCAAUCUCGUUACCGGCAAGUCUCUUUACUCGUUCUGUAAUGCAUCAUCCUGCAACUAACUCAUUAGUUACAUUGCUUGCAAGGCUUAUAGUGAUGUGCAUUACCGAGAGGGCCCAGAGAUACCUCUCCGACAAUCAGAGUGACAAAUCCUAAUCUUGAUCUAUGUCAACUCAACAAGUACCAUCGGAGACACCUGUAGAGCACCUUUAUAAUCACCCAGUUAUGUUGUGACGUUUGGUAGCACACAAAGUGUUCCUUCGGUAUUCGGGAGUUGCAUGAUCUCAUAGUCAUAGGAACAUGUAUAGUUAUGGAGAAAGCAAUAGCAACAAACUAAACGAUCAUCGUGCUAAGCUAACGGAUGGGUCAAGUCAAUCACAUCAUUCUCUAAUGAUGUGAUCCCGUUAAUCAAAUGACAACUCAUGUCUAUGGUUAGGGAACAUAACCAUCAUUGAUUCAACGAGCUAGUCAAGUAGAGGCAAACUAGUGACAAUUUGUUUGUCUAUGUAUUCACACAUGUAUUAAGUUUUCGGUUAAUACAAUUCUAGCAUGAAUAAUAAACAUUUAUCAUGAUAUAAGGAAAUAUAAAUAACAACUUUAUUAUUGCCUCUAGGGCAUAUUUCUUUCAAGAGCAUCCUCCACCUCCACCGAGCGACUGUUGUCGAUCUUGAACAGGGCCCUCAUGACUGCAAUAGCCUCUUCUGGCAGCUGUCCCUUGAACCUGUUUGCGAACUGCUCCAGAGCGCGCUCCUUCAUGUCCUUGCCAUCCUGGACAAUACCUAUUCGCAUCAAAGCAUCCAGAACCGAGAAGUUCAUACUCGGCUCCAAGAUGGAUCGUAUUGAGCAUGAGUGGCUACUCCACAACACUUGAUUGUUGUGCCUAUGUCAUGCUCUUUAUUUUAUUUGGACUAUUUUGUGUUUUUGAAUUUGAAUAAUUUGAUUUGCAAACUUUAAAUUUGUAAUAUCCAUGAAUUAUGUGAACCUUGAUUAUUAAGUUGGAAUUCAAUAUAUGUGCAAAUAUGUAGUUGAAAUGUUGCAUGUAAACAAAAAACUUAGAACAAUUGAUGAAUGAAAUUUUUUAGGGAGUUAAAUUUGAAGGAUUCGGCUCAAAUCAUUUUUAUUUAACUCGUCAAAUAUAAAAUGUUAAGGUAUACAGGUCGAGGAGCGAAAUUAUAAGUGACCUGCAAGGGAUGUCCUUAGCAUGGCUAGUCCUUAGACAAUAAGACAAUAGACACAGCAUAAUGAUGUUCAAAGUAUUCUCUUCGAGGAUUCUCUGGUCUGGUUUCUCCAAUCAGCACCUAUCUAGGGAGCGUUCGGUUUCCCACUGCUCCUAUAACUCCGCUCCCGGAGCGGACAAGAUUUCAGCUUAUUUUGGCGGAGCUGGUAAAACCGAGCUCCACAACUCCUCGGAGCGGAUCGAUUCCGAACAGGGCCCUAGUCGAUCCACGUCUCCUGCACUUGGGUAUUAUAGAUCCCUUGUGCCUUCGUCAAGAUUUUUGAAAUUUGACCAGGACUCGACGGACAUCUCAGAAGAUCACAGUUUUUCUCCUCACAGAAGCUCCAAGCUGUGGUGUUUUACUUUUAUUACCAGGUGACCACUGAAGUAUCUCCAUCCAGGCGGCACCAUGUCGGCAGUGGCAGACCGGUUCAGGGAGCUACCGGUUGGAAAUCCACCAUUCGUCAAUGCUUUUAGAUUCGUGCGGUUGGACCCCACAAAAUUUCUUUUUCCCCACCGAUUCCAGGAUACGAGACCAUGCAAUACAAGAUGGAGCCCACGUCUCGAUCCCGCACAUCCCACGAACCCACGCCCCCAGUCUGCCUCGCCUCCUCUCACCCAUGGCCGGCGCCACCACGCUCGUCCUCUCCCUCAUGGCCGCCGGCGCCGUUCCUCUUCGCGCCCAGCUUCUCACCUGGACGGCCCCCGACCCCGCGGCCGCCCCCGCCGUCCGGGCCGCCGUCUGGACGUCACUGUCGGACGCCGUCAUGGGCGACGGCGCCGACCAGCCACCCCGCCGCUGGAUCCUCCUUCCCCGGCCGGCCAUGGCGACCACCACGCGUACAAGUACAAAAGCCCUCAUGGUCCAAUGAGAUCCAGCGAGACAGGUUCGUCCCCAUCUAGCCCGGUCAGCUCUCGUACCCUGCAUCAACCAGAUCCCGUGGGCGUCGGGGUGACCUGCUCCGGCGAGGUUCCUCGAUCCCGCCCGCCACAAGCCCGUCCACGGGCAGCCGUGCUCGCCUUUGGUGGCUACGUGCAGCACGGGCACCACGGCGGGGCACCGCGCACCGUUGUCGCCGGAUCUGGCGACUCCAAGCCUGACCGCCAUUGGAUCUGGUUAGUCAUGAAUCAUCUCUCCUAACCUCUCUCCAUAUCAUGAUUUCGGUUUUAUUUUUCAUGAUUUCAAAAUUCCUUGUUUCUCUACCAGAUCAUCGGCCUCCUGCAUCUUCAGUUUCAGAUAUUUGAUUGUUUGUGCAGAGGGCAUGUGUUACACUUUUCUGAAAGAGAACCAAGAGUGAAUCAAUUUCAGAAAUCAAGUUACAUCUAUGUACCUGUGUGUGUAGCUGAGUUGUGCAAGAUAUGUGAAAUUUAUAUUUCAAUCUGUAACUUGUUAUUUGAGUGAAAUAUGUAUUGAAAUAGUUGUUUCAAUAUAAAUUGAAAUUCUUUGUGCCACUUUUGGAGUGUUGAAUUUCAAGCUUUU